Molecule: ribosomal RNA, 702 nt
Filed under: uncultured archaeon
Lineage: Archaea
Description: bacterial SSU rRNA
Rfam family: Archaeal small subunit ribosomal RNA
Source: RNAcentral
UGCCCUAUGCUGGAUAAUAACCUCGGGAAACUGAGAAUAAUGAUCCAUAGUUCACUACGCCUGGAACGGUGAGUGGAUGAAAGCUCCGGCGGCAUAGGAUGGGCCUGCGGCGUAUCAGGUUGUAGGGGGUGUAACGUACCCUCUAGCCCUCUACGCGUACGGGUGUUGGGAGACAUAGCCCGGAGAUGGAUUCUGAGACACGAAUCCAGACCCUACGGGGUGCAGCAGGCGCGAAAACUUGGCAAUGCGAGAAAUCGUGACCAGGGAACUCCAAGUGCAUCGGGUAAGACCGGUGCUUUUCUUGACUCUAAAUAGGUCUUGGAAUAAGGGGUGGGUAAGGACGGUGCCAGCCGCCGCGGUAAUACCGGCGCCUCAAGUGGUAGUCGCUUUUAUUGGGCCUAAAACGUCCGUAGCCGGUCUGAUACAUUCGUGGGUAAAUCAACCAGCUCAACUGGUUGAAUUCUGCGAGGACGGUCAGACUUGGGACCGGGAGAGGUGUGGGGUACGCUCAGGGUAGGGGUAAAAUCCUGUCAUCCUGAGCGGACCACCUGUUGCGAAGGCGCCACACUAGAACGGAUCCGACGGUCAGGGACGAAGCCUAGGGGCACGAACCGGAUUAGAUACCCGGGUAGUCCUAGGUGUAAACGCUGUGGACUUGAUGUUGGGGGUGCUCCGAGCACUCUCAGUGUCGAAGCGAAGGUG